CCUACGGGAGGCAGCAGUGGGGAAUAUUGGACAAUGGGGGGAACCCUGAUCCAGCGACGCCGCGUGAGUGAAGAAGUAUUUCGGUAUGUAAAGCUCUAUCAGCAGGGAAGAAAAUGACGGUACCUGACUAAGAAGCCCCGGCUAACUACGUGCCAGCAGCCGCGGUAAUACGUAGGGGGCAAGCGUUAUCCGGAUUUACUGGGUGUAAAGGGAGCGUAGACGGUGCAGCAAGUCUGAUGUGAAAGGUCGGGGCCCAACCCCGGGACUGCAUUGGAAACUGUUGAACUGGAGUAGAAGAGAGGGAAGCGGAAAUCCUAGUGGAGCGGUGAAAUGAGUAGAUAUUAGGGGGAACACCAGGGGCGAAGGCGGCCUAACGGCCUUUAACUGACGUUGAGGCUCGAAAGCGUGGGGAGCAAACAGGAUUAGAUACCCUUGUAGUC
RNAcentral lists this ribosomal RNA (440 nucleotides) under uncultured bacterium. Its description in RNAcentral is "partial 16S ribosomal RNA". It matches the Rfam family "Bacterial small subunit ribosomal RNA", at positions 338 to 795 of the family's 1533-position model. The record is from RNAcentral.